Molecule: microRNA precursor, 79 nt
Filed under: Ictidomys tridecemlineatus (thirteen-lined ground squirrel)
Lineage: Eukaryota; Metazoa; Chordata; Mammalia; Rodentia; Sciuridae
Description: microRNA 193b (ENSSTOG00000016617.2)
Rfam family: mir-193 microRNA precursor family
Source: RNAcentral
GGCCCAGAAUCGGGGUUUUGAGGGCGAGAUGUGUUUAUGUUUUAUCCAACUGGCCCACAAAGUCCCGCUUUUGGGGUCA